GAGUUCGCGGGAGAGUAGGUUAUUGCCAGGGUUUUUAUUUUUAUACUUUAAACUUUGAUUUUAUUUUUAUGUUUUUUAAAUAUUGGUGUUUUUGAAUGUGUUGUUUAAAUAACAUAAAAAAUAAAAUAUAUAUUGACAUGUAUUAAACAAAGAUAUAUAUUAUUUUAUGUUGUAUAAAUAAAUUGGCAAAAUAGAGAUGGAAGAUAAAAAUAUGGUCAAAGUAAUAAGAGUCUAUGGUGAAUGCC
This 245-nucleotide unclassified non-coding RNA is filed under the name Borreliella burgdorferi (Lyme disease spirochete). RNAcentral describes it as "partial 5S-23S ribosomal RNA intergenic spacer". Lineage: Bacteria; Pseudomonadati; Spirochaetota; Spirochaetia; Spirochaetales; Borreliaceae. RNAcentral also lists the same sequence under 1 other name. The record is from RNAcentral.